This 433-nucleotide ribosomal RNA is filed under the name uncultured bacterium. Its description in RNAcentral is "partial 16S ribosomal RNA". It matches the Rfam family "Bacterial small subunit ribosomal RNA", at positions 29 to 507 of the family's 1533-position model. The record is from RNAcentral.
AACGAACGCUGGCGGCAUGCCUAACACAUGCAAGUCGAACGAGACCUUCGGGUCUAGUGGCGCACGGGUGCGUAACGCGUGGGAACCUGCCCUUAGGUUCGGAAUAACUCCCCGACAGGGGUGCUAAUACCGGAUAAUGUCUUUGGACCAAAGAUUUAUCGCCUUUGGAUGGGCCCGCGUUGGAUUAGCUAGUUGGUAGGGUAAAAGCCUACCAAGGCGACGAUCCAUAGCUGGUCUGAGAGGAUGAUCAGCCACACUGGGACUGAGACACGGCCCAGACUCCUACGGGAGGCAGCAGUGGGGAAUAGUGGACAAUGGGCGAAAGCCUGAUCCAGCAAUGCCGCGUGAGUGAUGAAGGCCUUAGGGUUGUAAAGCGCUUUUACCCGGGAUGAUAAUGACAGUACCGGGAGAAUAAGCUCCGGCUAACUCCGUG